RNAcentral lists this ribosomal RNA (300 nucleotides) under uncultured Curtobacterium sp. RNAcentral describes it as "bacterial SSU rRNA". It matches the Rfam family "Bacterial small subunit ribosomal RNA", at positions 967 to 1268 of the family's 1533-position model. The record is from RNAcentral. Lineage: Bacteria; Bacillati; Actinomycetota; Actinomycetes; Micrococcales; Microbacteriaceae.
AACCUUACCAAGGCUUGACAUACACCGGAAACGGCCAGAGAUGGUUGCCCCCUUGUGGUCGGUGUACAGGUGGUGCAUGGUUGUCGUCAGCUCGUGUCGUGAGAUGUUGGGUUAAGUCCCGCAACGAGCGCAACCCUCGUUCUAUGUUGCCAGCGCGUUAUGGCGGGGACUCAUAGGAGACUGCCGGGGUCAACUCGGAGGAAGGUGGGGAUGACGUCAAAUCAUCAUGCCCCUUAUGUAUUGGGCUUCACGCAUGCUACAAUGGCCGGUACAAAGGGGUGGGAUACCGUAAGGUGGAGC